GGGCUCGUGGCGGAAUUGGCAGACGCGCCAGGUUGAGGGCCUGGUGAGGGUUAAACCUCGUGCUGGUUCGAAUCCAGUCGGGCCCA
This 86-nucleotide transfer RNA is filed under the name Pirellulales bacterium. Its description in RNAcentral is "tRNA-Leu". It matches the Rfam family "tRNA". Rfam says of the family: Transfer RNA (tRNA) molecules are approximately 80 nucleotides in length. Their secondary structure includes four short double-helical elements and three loops (D, anti-codon, and T loops). The record is from RNAcentral. Lineage: Bacteria; Pseudomonadati; Planctomycetota; Planctomycetia; Pirellulales.